UUUGCUGUGCUAGACGGGGAGUUAGCGGUGCCUUGUACCUGCAAUCCGCUGUAGCAGGGUUGAAUUCCUUGUUUGAGGCUAUAAUUUGUGGGGUUUGCCUCAUCUUGGUCAAUGUUGAGAAUUGGGUCCCACGCAACGGAAAUUCAUGAACUCCGUCAGGUCCGGAAGGAAGCAGCGGUAAGUGAAAUCUUCCGUGUGCCG
Molecule: non-coding RNA, 201 nt
Filed under: Clostridium acetobutylicum ATCC 824
Lineage: Bacteria; Bacillati; Bacillota; Clostridia; Eubacteriales; Clostridiaceae
Also listed under: 1 other name
Description: scrRNA
Rfam family: Bacterial large signal recognition particle RNA
About the family: The signal recognition particle (SRP) is a universally conserved ribonucleoprotein involved in the co-translational targeting of proteins to membranes. Archaeal SRP consists of a 7S RNA and homologues of the eukaryotic SRP19 and SRP54 proteins.
Source: RNAcentral